UACGUAGGUGGCAAGCGUUGUCCGGAUUUAUUGGGUUUAAAGGGUGCGUAGGCGGUUCUGUAAGUCAGUGGGGAAAUACUCUAGCUUAACUAGAGGGGUGCCAAUGAUACUGCAGAACUUGAGUACAGAUGAGGUAGGCGGAAUUGACGGUGUAGCGGUGAAAUGCAUAGAUAUCGUCAAGAACACCGAUAGCGAAGGCAGCUUACUGGGCUGUAACUGACGCUGAGGCACGAAAGUGUGGGGAUCAAACAGG
This 253-nucleotide ribosomal RNA is filed under the name uncultured bacterium. RNAcentral describes it as "partial 16S ribosomal RNA". It matches the Rfam family "Bacterial small subunit ribosomal RNA", at positions 524 to 776 of the family's 1533-position model. The record is from RNAcentral.